GGGGAAUUUUCCGCAAUGGGCGAAAGCCUGACGGAGCGACACCGCGUGGAGGAUGAAGUUUUUAGGAACGUAAACUCCUUUCGACAGGGACGAAUAAAUUGACGGUACCUGUAGAAGAAGCAUCGGCUAACUACGUGCCAGCAGCCGCGGUAAUACGUAGGAUGCAAGCGUUGUUCGGAAUUACUGGGCGUAAAGAGUACGUAGGCGGUGACGUAAGUCUGAUAUUAAAGACCGAGGCUUAACUUCGGGAAUGUAUCGGAAACUGCGUUGCUAGAGGCAGAUAGAGGAUGCCGGAAUUCCCAGUGUAGCGGUGAAAUGCGUAGAUAUUGGGAAGAACACCGGAGGCGAAAGCGGGCAUCUGGGUCUGUACUGACGCUGAGGUACGAAAGCGUGGGGAGCAAAC
RNAcentral lists this ribosomal RNA (403 nucleotides) under uncultured bacterium. RNAcentral describes it as "bacterial SSU rRNA". It matches the Rfam family "Bacterial small subunit ribosomal RNA", at positions 356 to 773 of the family's 1533-position model. The record is from RNAcentral.